CAAGUGGGCUGUUUCCAGGAGGUGCCACUGGAGGGAAAAGGGCUGCCUGGGGCCAGGGAGGCUGCCUGGUUCUGCCUCCCGGGCUGGGUCAGUGGCUUUCCUGUCCCCAGGCCUGGAGGACCUUGCAGGGUCUGUUUGCUCCUGAUCCCUCAGGGUGGGCAUGGGACAGGUGUGUGCCAGUGCCAGCUGUGUGCCAGUGGGCAGGUCACAGCUUCUUCUUGGGGCAGUGCUGCAGGGCCGCCCUCAGGGCCUCCGUCACGCGGUCCACAUUCUCGCGGGUGGCAUUGCAGCCCAGCAGGCCGAUCCGCAGCACCUGGGGGGCACAGGGCGGGCUGACGUCAGCCUCCCGCCUGGGACCUGCCUGACCCUGACCGACAGCUGGCCAGAGCCAGGAUGGGCUCACCUGAGUGAGGACCACCCACCCAGCGUCCAUGAGGGGAGUUGACAGCCCUGUGCAGGUCACAGAGGGGGCCCUUGAGCACCCAGGCCAGGGCAGGCUCUCCUCCCUCUGCACCCGCAGCCACACGGGAGGACAGGGUGGUGCAGUGAAGGUCCCUCCCCACUGCCACUCAGAGACACAGCCAGGCCCAGGCGUGGGGCUUCCGGCCUGGUUCCAGGGUCUGGUCAGAGGGAAGGAAGGAUGUUCCGAGUGGAAUCAUAAAGGCUGCACCUGGUGACCUCAGUGGGCUGGGGUGGGAGCAGGGGCGACAGGAUACGCUUUACUGGAUACCCCUUGGAGAGUGGGCCCUUCUGGACGCUCCUGCAAUCUGGGCUUUCGGAUGACCCCGGCCUCCCCUGCACCUGGUGCACAGUCCUGCUCAAGGAGGGGUGGCGGGUUUGGUUUCUGCAAAAGGCCCUCGAGGCGCUCCCUCUCACCUUCCCCGUGGAGGGCCCAAGGCCACCCAUGAUCUCAAUGUCGAAGUGGUCUAUGACGUAGCUGACGAUGUCUCUCCAGUCAUAGCCAGCGGGUACAGCCACAGUGGUGACUGUGGGAAGCCGGAGCGCCUGCAGGAGGGGCCUGGCUCAGUGCGUGGGUGAGAGGCCCUGUACGGGCCUUUGUGACAGCUCUUGGCCUGCACCAUCUGCCCCAGCUUCAGGUUCCAGAGGAGCCGGGGGAGAAAGGGCCGGGAGAGAGCAGGGACCCCACCCCUUAGGAGGCGGUGGAUGGGCACCUUCCCACUGGGAGAUCACAGGCCGUCCUGAGAUCCCGCAUCAGAGGCCGGGAGCUGUGACUUCGUGGCUCCUGCCGAGACUAAUCCCUGGCACCGAGGCCACACCACCGGGCAGCCGCCCCCUCCUUCUCAGGAGCCAGUGUCCCUCUUGAGGGGGCUGGGCAAGAGCCCCUCAUCCUUCCCCAUGGGUGCAGGGCUGCCCAAUGCCAGGGGCCUCCUUACCGGGUCCUUCACGAAGAGCUGCAGCCCCAGUGCCUGCAGGCGCCCAUGCAGAUACGCCGCGGCCUCGCGGUGCUGGCGCCAGCUGUUCUCCAGGCCCUGUGUGGGAGAUGGCGCUGGUGGGCAGUGACAUGGGUGGGGUGGGCAGGAAGCCCCGCCCUCUGUGGUGCGGGAGGAAGAACCUGACUCUGCAGGCCUUGGUGCAGGGGAGCCCCUGGAGCCCCCAGUUUGACUUUGCCUGGGGCAGGGCCUGGGACUACCCCAGGGCAGAAGGAAACAUCUGGGUCUGGGAGAGACAGAGGAGGGUUCAGAGAGACAGAGGGGAGGUCUGCCUGUGGCCCCUGGGGGAGAAGAGUGGAGAGUGCCUUGCAGGGGGAGGGGACUGGGCAAGGAGGGGAAGGGCUGUUGGGCUACACAGGGCUGGAGUGGAUCAGGGCCAGGGCUCAGGGUGCUGGCUCCCAGGCCCCCUCUCCUCUCAGGGCCAGCUCCCCCGACCUGGCAUCCUCCGCAGCACUGCUCCUGCCUCAGCUCUGGACAGGUGAGGGGUGGUCUCUCCAGCCCUGGGCCCCUCAGUGCCAUUACCUCUGGUCACGGGUCCUCCCGGCCUCCAGCCACCAGCUCUCAUGGCCACCCCAGGUGGGUCCCCGGAGCAGCAGCUGCUCUCUACUCUGGCCCUGGCCCGUCUUCUCUGCGCAUGUGCCCCUGCAAUCUGCACUCUGCCAGGUCCCUGUGCCUCUGCCCUUGACUGUGCCCUGCUGUCUGGUCCUGUUCUCUUCCUUCUCUGCCCAGCUCACACCCCCCACCCACCUUUACGACCCUAGAGCCUUUCCCUGUGUGAGCGCCUGACCCCUCGCCUUCCCCCGCGGGUGCGGGUGGCAUUUAGCUUACAGGGGCACCCUGGCACUAACCCAGCCCUAGGCAGUGGCUUUAUGAGUGGACCCAGGAGGACAAACGUGGCAGGCACGGCCUUGCAACCUCAUGGGAAGCUGGCUGCAGCCCGGGGAUCCUUCCUGGACUCUGGACUGGUGGCUGGCAAUGGGCCCUGUGGGACACAGGACCCAGAUGAAAGUAGGUGGGACUUCCUGUCUCGUGGCCUGCAGAGCUGCUGGGCCUGAGGCCACUCUCAGCCGCCUGUGUCCUGAGAGUGUGGAUGUUGCAGUGUCCUGAGAGUGUGGAUGUUGCAGUGGCCAAAUCAACCCCUGGUCACACCCAAGUGCUCAUGCUCAGCUCUUGCCCUGCCAUAGGAGCUGGACAAGCCUGCAGGAACUGCCAACCCUCACUUUACAUCCACGCCCACCUAUCUGUGGGCACAUCUCUGGCCCCUUCGGCCUCCCCUUCUCCCAGCCCACCCACUCACUGGGCCUCACUUACUGCUUCACACAGCAAUGGAAGGGUUGGGAGCAUCCACACCUGCCCCAUUGCUGCAUCUGUCCCUGGGGCUGUAUCCCCCUGGCCCUGCCCGCAGCCAGUGUACCCGGGGCCCUGUCCUCUCUCCCCCACCCCCACUGAGGGCCUCUCUCUGGCAGGCUCCCUUUUCUCUGUGCACCAGGGAUGGUUCCUUCUCUGCAGGCCGCGCCCUCGACAAUCCAGCCAGUGGCCCUGUCUCCUCCUGUGGAGUGCAGCCCAUGCACCUGUUCCGCAAUGAGGGCCAGGCUCUCUCUCAGGCUGUACAGGCUGAUGACGGGGAUUGUGUGAUGGUACCUGGAAGACACGAGGGGGCUUGGUCCAGCACCAUGGGCAGGGUUGGGGGCAGAUGGGGCAUUAGCUCUGUCUGCCCCAGCCCCAACAGCACAGGCUCUCUGACCACAGGCCGGUAUCCUCCGCAGAGGAGUCCUGUCCGGGUUCAGAACUUUGGACCGGGAAGGCAGCUUCGUCUGCCAGGGAGAGCAUGGCUUGUGUAGGGCCCAGCCAGGAGGCAGUGGGUGGCUGCAGGAGCAGAGACACGUGCCACCACCUCCCUGCGGAGCCCCUCAGUCCCAGCGUGCCUGCGAAGCCGGCACUGGCCCUCUGUGCCCACUGGGCUAGGGCACCAUUCCUGGCGCCUUGUUCCUGUGUGUAACAUAAGGGGCCUUGGGUUUAUGGCCAAGGUCGUCUUUUCAGAAGGGGUAAGCUGAGGCCCAGGAGUGGGGAGAUGUGGCAGGGCCAGGUCCAAAGUGCCCGAGGGUGUGCUGGGACCUCUGGGGGGACAGUGUUUGUGGAAGCGGCAGUGGGGGCCAUGACCCUGCCCAGAGCCUCGGGCCAGUCGAGGAAUGGGGGAACCCAGGGUGGGGCAUUUGACUGCCUGAUGCAGGCGGAUUCUGGGGCUCUAGUUGGGGUUCUUGAGGCAUGAAGGUGGGGGGCUUGGAGAAUCCCUGAGUGCAGUGAGAGGCCAGCGCCCCACCUCUCAGCCAUGCCCAGCGCCCUCCACCUUCCCAUCCCUGCCAGGCCUCACAUCCUGGGCUGGUCGUCACAGCCCCAGAAGUUGGCCAGCCACUUGAUGUCCAGGUAGAAGGAGAAGGGCUUCGUCUUGCGGGAGUACAUCUUCUUUCUGGGGAGAAAGAAGCAGGCUGAGCACCAGCCUCUCAGUUUGGGCUGAAGGCCAGGGCAGUCUCGCUGGCUGUCCUGUUUCACGGGAGUGAGACGGGGUGGGGCCCCCAGGAGGGCCCGCCCCAGCUGCAUUUGUGCUCAGGGGCCAGAGUGGGACCGGGUGGGUCGUGGGUCCCUCAGCUGUCCAGUCCCGCUGGCCCUUGGGCCCAGCUGUGUGACCCUGCCAUGGGGGCACCAAGGCCAGCUCCCUCCACUCUGUGUGCCCCUUUCUCUCCCCCAGCCCCUCCUACAGGGUCAGCCUUCAUUUCUCACAUCACCCAAAGGUGACUGCUUUCGGGCCCCAGGGGACACUGGCCAGGCUUGAAACUUUAAAUGUGUCCGUCUCUACAACUCCAGAUGGAGGGGCCAGCCCCGGCCUCUCCCCAGGCUCCUGACUCACACCCAGCCGCUUCCUUCACCCUCCCGUGUGGUCCAGCUGGCAUCUCAGACCUCCCACGUCCAACACCGAAUUCCUGACUUCUCCCCGAAGUCCUCUCUGUUCUGGGGAACGGCACCUCCAGUUGCCAGGCUGCAGCUGGAUGGGAACCGCCUGUGAGGUCUGGCCCCCUUCCCCUACCCCCUGCCCGGCCUGGCUCAGAAUCUGGACACCAGGAGCGGGAGGUGAGAUUGGGACUGCAGGGGGCACUGUGUGUGGCCCACGUUGUCCCUUGGGGCAGCCCCUGGAAGCUGAGCCAGGGCAGAGGCCGGUCAGGGCACUGGGCCUCAGGCCCUCAGUCCUUUCCUGGUCACUCCUUGCUGUGAAGCUGGGAACUUCCAGAGCAGUGGACUCUGCACCCUGCACACGCCUGCAGCCCUCCCCUCGCCCGGCCUCCCCACUCCCUGUGAACGCAGUGCCUUUGGCCUCCCAGAGGGUGGGCGGGAGAGCGCCAGGUGCUGGAGGAGCAUGGGGAGCCCUUCCUGCCUGGCUCCCGCCCCUCCCGCCUCGGGCCACCUGAGCUCCCUGCAAGCCCAGCCCUGCACAGAGGUGAGGGUCUGUGGGUCACUCACUUGGCCUUGUCACUGAAGGAGAUGAGCGAGGUCCCUGGAGGGGCGUUCAGGGCCUUCUGGGAGCCCGAGUACAGGAUGUCGAUGCCUGUAGAUGGGUGGUUUGCUCGGGACGGGUGAGUCCCACCUCAGGGCAGGCCAGUCCAGCGGGAUGCCUGCCUAGCUAAUGGGCUGGUAGGCUACGACCCUACCACGAAUCCGUACACGAUAGCAGGGGAGAUGUGGAAGGGAGUCCUGGGUUCAAAUCUGGGCACUGCUGCGUGGCAGCCAUGACCUCAGGCCUGAGCGUUUUAGCGCAGCUUCUCCCUCUGCUGUGCUGGUCCCCAGGGACAGCCCUGCCACCCCAGGCACCGUGUCCCUGGGGCCCUCCCCAGGUCCCUGCUUUCAGUAGUAGUUUGAGGAUCAGCCCAGAAAUCCCUCCCUUCCUGCCUGAGAACUCCCAAAUCAGGAGGGGCUCUGCAGAAACAGACAGGCUCCCAUGGAGUGGGUGGGCAGGCACCGCAGUGGAUGCAAUGUGCAGGCUCUCUCCCGUAAGCGGAUGGGCACAGGAGGCUCCUUGGCCCCUCGGCCGGCCUGGUUGAGGUUCCCUGCGAGGUGACCCUGACAGUGGUGCUCACUGCUAUGGGCAGCCUGGCAGGGCGCAGGGCAGAUGUGAAACUGAGCCUCUGGGGGGUUGGGCAGAGGGGUGCCCAACGCCUGAUUGACUGGAGCCCUGGCCCUUCCUCUUCCCACUGCUUCUGCUACAGCUCUGGGGCAUCUCAAAUGUCCCCCACCAGAAGCUGUCCCUCCUGCCAGUCCCCACGCCUGGAUCUGAAAGCUCAGUGGAAACACUGGGGUGCUGGGUAGUUCAUGGAGCCGCUCUUGCCGCAGUAAGGAGUGAGUGUUUCCCUGGGCCUGGUGGAGAUGGGGCCGAAUCCGCAGCAUCGGCUGCUGGACGCACGCUUCCAGCAGGGCUUCCUGCACGCGGAGCCCCAAGGCUGCUUGGGCUGGGUAGGGCUCUCAGAGCCCACCCUUACCUUGCCGGUCCAUGUAAAGGGGGGUCCCGCCCAGGGAUGCCACCGAAUCCACCAGGAGCAGGCACUUGUACCUGGAGAGGUGGGGGACAGAAUGGAGGGCAGCAGGUGAGGCAGGGGGCCACUGGAGGGCCUGGCCCCAGGCUGGAUGGGGUUUCUGAGCCUCAGGCUGGCAAGGAAGGCAGGGCACCUCCCACCUCCACCCCAGGAGUUGGCCAGUUGCCUUCUCCUGCCUGUCAGGAUCCAUCAGGACCUGUGGCUCUUCCUUUCUCAGCCCUGAACAUUGGAGCAGAGGGAGCUGGGGGAGUGAGGGAGCAUCACGGCCCUGGUGAGACCCAGCUGCAGGGCCCGGCAGUGGUGCUGAAGAGGGUCAGCCGGGCAGUCUGUGGUUCCCAGGGACAGCGGGUGCCUGAGGGCCUGUGUGGACCCCAGGGACCAGGGUGGCACCAGGCUGGGCCUACCUCUGCCAACAGCUGCUCGGCCCAGCCACUGGCCAGAAUCUAGGCCAGAGGGGACAGAGUCCCAGAACAGCCCAAGCAGCAGCGCCACAAACUCUCACCCUCCUCCGCCUCCAUGUUCACGAACUCUCGCCCUCCUCCUCCUGCAUGUUCACGAACUCUCACCCUCCUCCUGCAUGUUCACGAACUCUCACCCUCCUCCACCUGCAUGUUCACGAACUCUCACCCUCCUCCGCCUGCAUGUUCACGAACUCUCACCCUCCUCCUCCUCCAUGUUCACGAACUCUCACCCUCCUCCUCCUGCAUGUUCACGAACUCUCACCCUCCUCCUGCAUGUUCACGAACUCUUAUCCUCCUCCACCUACAUGUUCACGAACUCUCACCCUCCUCCGCCUGCAUGUUCACGAACUCUCACCCUCCUCCGCCUCCAUGUUCACAAACUCUCACCCUCCUCCACCUCCAGGUUUUCUUAUAAAGAAAAAAGAGACACAGAAAGUAUCUCGUGCUGGCCGCAGGUGGGGAUGGCCUGGGUGUUGCUGAAGCUGGCCAGGUUAUGUUUGUGAGCUUUAUUCAUGGCCACGGUCCAUGCAGCAAGCUGUCUGGGCUGGGGGCCCUGUCAGAAGGACCCUCCCUGGCCGUGGAGUUUCUCUCCUCUGUCCUGUGCUCAGACCUGCAGACGGGACUGCUGGGUCCCAAGGGGCUCUGUCCGCAUUUCUCAGGAAUCCCAUCUGACUCCAUUCAAGGCCUUGCCCUGUGCACCCCCAUGCGGGGAUGAGGGAGGCUGGAGGAGGGAAGUGGAGGGCAUCAGGCAGCUUUAGUGUCCUGGCAAUCUCGGGGUGAGGUGGGGACAGGCCCUGGCAAGAUAUGGAAGUCUGCACCAAGCCCUCUUCAGCCCUGG
RNAcentral lists this long non-coding RNA (7330 nucleotides) under Homo sapiens (human). RNAcentral describes it as "non-protein coding lnc-C2orf54-3:1". The record is from RNAcentral. Lineage: Eukaryota; Metazoa; Chordata; Mammalia; Primates; Hominidae.